GAGUUUGAUCCUGGCUCAGAUUGAACGCUGGCGGCAGGCCUAACACAUGCAAGUCGAACGGUAACAGAAAGCAGCUUGCUGCUUUGCUGACGAGUGGCGGACGGGUGAGUAAUGUCUGGGAAACUGCCUGAUGGAGGGGGAUAACUACUGGAAACGGUAGCUAAUACCGCAUAACGUCGCAAGACCAAAGAGGGGGACCUUCGGGCCUCUUGCCAUCGGAUGUGCCCAGAUGGGAUUAGCUUGUUGGUGGGGUAACGGCUCACCAAGGCGACGAUCUCUAGCUGGUCUGAGAGGAUGACCAGCCACACUGGAACUGAGACACGGUCCAGACUCCUACGGGAGGCAGCAGUGGGGAAUAUUGCACAAUGGGCGCAAGCCUGAUGCAGCCAUGCCGCGUGUAUGAAGAAGGCCUUCGGGUUGUAAAGUACUUUCAGCGGGGAGGAAGGGAGUAAAGUUAAUACCUUUGCUCAUUGACGUUA
RNAcentral lists this ribosomal RNA (479 nucleotides) under uncultured bacterium. RNAcentral describes it as "bacterial SSU rRNA". It matches the Rfam family "Bacterial small subunit ribosomal RNA", at positions 9 to 477 of the family's 1533-position model. The record is from RNAcentral.